CCUCAGCCGAGCCAUUCUCAGAAGCGUCUGGUCUGCCUAGACAGCCGCCGGCUUCAGGCCUCUGCCGUAGGGCAGAGUCAGAGAGCCUGGCUCAGGCCAUGCUUCCAGGAAAGUCAGCGUCGCCACGUGGAGAUGGUGGCGAACCAGAACCCCAGAGCGUUUAAGGAGCACGCCGCUGCGGCCGCGGGCAGAGAUCCACCCAGGCCGCUGUCCAAGUUCACUCUGCUGGGUAGAAGAGGAGUUGAUUUAUGUCUCCAGCAGGACCCAGAGUCUAGCUGAGAUGACACACGUGUGUGUGGAGACAGGUGCUGCUCCCACUGUGUGCUCCCAGCUCCCUCUCGGGGUCUGGUUCCCGGAGAACCCACCGAGGGCCCCCACAGUCUGCCGCCCAAGCUUCUGCUCCUUCUGACAGGUUAGCCUCGCUCUCGUUCACCCCCGAGUAGUGCUUCUGCAGCCCAGAGAGUGACUUCCCACUGGCAGCUGCGGCUCACCCCUUCCAGGGAAGAGCUACUAAAGGCUGGAGGGCUGGAGCUUCCUGGAACAACCCAGCAUCCUUGACUACCAGGUGCUCAGUGCCCAAAGGCAGUGGCUCACGUUCAACCACACUGUGAAGUUUAAACCCAAGUAACCGGUCACCCUCACUGUCUGUCUCCUGUUCCCGGUGCCAAUUCCAGCCCUUCCGCUGCCAUCACACAGGACGGAGAUACUGAGUGUGAUUACGUAUAUAUUGUGCCUAGUGGGCACACUUUUUGGUUCCUAUGUUCAACUCAAAAAGCAGACGAGCACACGCAAAAAGAGAAAUAUGGGCAAUGUAUAUAUGUAAGUAUGUAAAUCAAAAUAUGAAUUCAUCCUAUGAGAUGAGCAUCACCCCAAUACCCAGACUAGACAACAAUAUUAUAGAAAGAAACUGCAGAAUAGUAUCUCUCGCAAACAUAGAUGGAAAAAUCCUCAACAGAAUAUUAGCAAAUUGAAUCCAACAAUAUGUAAAAAGAAUUAUACACCAUGACAAACUGGGAUUUAUCCCAGGGAUG
Molecule: long non-coding RNA, 1031 nt
Organism: Phyllostomus hastatus (greater spear-nosed bat)
Lineage: Eukaryota; Metazoa; Chordata; Mammalia; Chiroptera; Phyllostomidae
Exons: 3
Source: RefSeq, a predicted model, not a curated record